Canis lupus familiaris (dog) is the source of this 1068-nucleotide long non-coding RNA. RefSeq lists it as uncharacterized. The transcript has 4 exons. Lineage: Eukaryota; Metazoa; Chordata; Mammalia; Carnivora; Canidae. The record is from RefSeq and is a predicted model, not a curated record.
CACUCAUUUGCUCAUGGCCGCCUGAGUUGUUUCCAUCUUUUGGCUCUUGUGAAGAAUGCAGCUACAAACACUGACUCUGUUUUUCCCUUUUCAUGUAUCAUUCUCACUGGUGGAAGGGAAAGCCAGUGGCCAUAUUGUGGGCCUAUGUGGUAAGAGAAUGAAGACCCAGUCAAUAGUCAACAAGGAGCUGAAGUCUGCUAACCACCACAUAGGUGACCUUGGAAGAUCUCUGAGUUGAGCUUUCAGUUGAUGGGCAGCUUGAUUAUAACCUCAUGAGAGGUCUUGAGCCAGAACUCCCAGGAACAGGUUCCUGUUUUGAUUACAAAGGAGCCCUGCUUAAAAUAACUAUCAUAAAGGACACUUGCUGCCUAAGAAGCCAAUGGCAGGAAGCUACAAUAAAGAACACUGAAGGUGGCCUGACAGAAGAGGAUUCCUCCUGGAAGUGGAUCAGAGAAAGGCUAAAAGAAGAGCUGUCCUAGGAAAUGAGUGGGAUGUAAAGUGAAGAAAGCACAACAAGCAAGGAGCAGGUAGGCCUAAAGGCAAUGAAACAGCAAGUGGCUUUCAAAAUGGACACAGAAGAAAUGUCAGUGGAUAUUAACAUAACAUCAUAGAGUAUUUUACAGUUUCCAGAGCACUUUUACUGUAUCACAUUUAAUUAUUUCAACAACCGAUAGGUUUAAGAGUUUUUGUUUUUUUUUUUAACCCAGCACAGGAGCAGGUGGGGAGGAGAAGGAAGUCAGGUACCAAAAUACUCAUUUCUUCUAUAUAUGUGCUUUGCUUCACUGUAUAGAACCCUAGACUAUAGGAACUGAUGCUAUUCAUAGUUAAACUAUAGUGAUAAGUAUGUUGCCCCAGGUAGCAUUUACUUUGAGGUAUCAUUUGAGGCUUUAAUACUUUUAUUUGCAAUAUUAAUAAAUCAACUGCCAAAAAGUGAAUUCCAACUUCUACAUCAGACAAGAAAAUAUCAUUAUGCCAGAUGCUUGUUAUCAAAGAUUGACUCAGUUCAACAAAUCUUACUGAAACAGGACAAAGCACUACGUGAAGACCUAAAAUAUACUGUAUGACAGA